RNAcentral lists this transfer RNA (84 nucleotides) under Vagococcus acidifermentans. RNAcentral's name for it is "Vagococcus sp. AC-1 tRNA". It matches the Rfam family "tRNA". Rfam says of the family: Transfer RNA (tRNA) molecules are approximately 80 nucleotides in length. Their secondary structure includes four short double-helical elements and three loops (D, anti-codon, and T loops). Lineage: Bacteria; Bacillati; Bacillota; Bacilli; Lactobacillales; Enterococcaceae. The record is from Rfam by way of RNAcentral.
GCGGUCGUGGUGGAAUGGCAGACACGCUGUCUUGAGGGGGCAGUGGGAGAAAGUCCCGUGUGGGUUCAAAUCCCACCGGCCGCA